UUACUCAUGGUUCUCUUCAUAUCGUAUAAAUCUUUCGCCUUUUACUAAAGAUUUCCGUGGGGAGGACCAUCAUGAGUUUAACUUAAUUUUUUGUCGCCCCGCCUUGCGGUGGGGCA
Chanos chanos (milkfish) is the source of this 116-nucleotide small nuclear RNA. RefSeq annotates it as U5 spliceosomal RNA. The record is from RefSeq and is a predicted model, not a curated record. The transcript has a single exon. NCBI's taxonomy places the organism in Eukaryota, Metazoa, Chordata, Actinopteri, Gonorynchiformes, Chanidae.